GUUUAAUUCGAUGCAACGCGAAGAACCUUACCUGGUCUUGACAUCCACAGAACUUUCCAGAGAUGGAUUGGUGCGUUCGGGAACUGUGAGACAGGUGCUGCAUGGCUGUCGUCAGCACGUGUUGUGAAAUGUUGGGUUAAGUCCCGCAACGAGCGCAACCCUUAUCCUUUGUUGCCAGCGAUUAGGUCGGGAACUCAAAGGAGACUGCCAGUGAUAAACUGGAGGAAGGUGGGGAUGACGUCAAGUCAUCAUGGCCCUUACUACCAGGGCUACACACGUGCUACAAUGGCGCAUACAAAGAGAAGGGACCUCGCGGGAGCAAGAGGACCUCAUAAAGUGCGUCGUAGUCCGGAUUGGAGUCUGCAACUCGACUCCAUGAAGUCGGAAGCGCUCGUAAUCGUGGAUCAGAAUGCCACGGUGAAUACGUUCCAGGGCCUUGUACACACCGCCCGUCACACCAUG
This 462-nucleotide ribosomal RNA is filed under the name Salmonella enterica subsp. enterica serovar Typhimurium. RNAcentral's name for it is "bacterial SSU rRNA". It matches the Rfam family "Bacterial small subunit ribosomal RNA", at positions 944 to 1406 of the family's 1533-position model. The record is from RNAcentral. Lineage: Bacteria; Pseudomonadati; Pseudomonadota; Gammaproteobacteria; Enterobacterales; Enterobacteriaceae.